GGAAGGAUGCACUGUAUGAAUGGUUUCCGACAUGCCUGAGCUGAGGACGCUUACCUUUAACAGUAAGGCGCACUCUGGUUGACAUACAUGUUGUACAUAGCGAAAGUUGCAAAUGCGAUAAGACACGCGUGCGGUUGCAGAUCUGAAGCCAGGAUAAGAUAAAGAGAUACGAUAAUGUCGGAGUCACUGUGAACGCAGCACAAGCUAGCUGAAGCUAACCGUUAGCUGCGCUGUUGAUAAUGACAACUGCGGAGGGAGAGAUGCUGAGAAGACAAGAAAGCUGUGUCACAGAUGUGAGCCGACAGUCAGCAGGCUUCCAGUAGCCAUGAAGGAGGAAUGUGCAGGUCCGUCUUUGUUCGAGGACCUGGAUUUUCCCAUAACAGACUCCUCCCUGUUCUUUGACGGCUCCACACCCAUCGCUCAGCUCCGCGGAGAAAUCACAUGGCUACGUCCACAGGAGAUCUGCCGGUCUCCGUCUCUCUUCCCCACCAAUGCUAACCUGGCUCAUGCUAAACAAGGACUGUUGGGUGACUGCUGGUUUCUCUGUGCGUGCACCUUCCUGCUCAAGAACCAGCAUCUUUUAGACAAGGUGUUUCCUCCUGGCCAGCCCCAGUGGGGUAGCAGCAAUUACAGGGGCUCCUUUCAGUUUCUCAUCUGGCAGCAGGGCCACUGGACAGAGGUGACCAUCGAUGACCGGCUGCCCUGCAUGAAUUCCUGUCUCUGUUUCUCACGCUGCCACUCCCCUUCUGCGUUUUGGAUUGCUUUAUUGGAAAAGGCCUAUGCCAAGCUACAUGGUUCAUAUGAGCAGCUCUGGGCCGGACAGGUGUCGGAGGCCCUUGUGGAUCUGACUGGUGGUGUCGCCGAGCGCUGGAGUCUGAGAGAGUUUGGUUUAGAUGAGGAAAAACGGCAAGCAGAGCAGGACAGUGACCAAGACAGGAGGAAAAAGCUGGACCUGAACCUCCUGUGCUGUGUGAAAGAAGAGUGUGCAUUGAGCUGCUCCACCCACAGCACUCCUGGAGGACUCAGAGAGCUGGAUCAGCACCACGCUCUGACUGUGAUGGAGUGGUUGGAUGUGAGGAAGGUGUCAGGGAGUGACGUGCGGCUGCUCAGGAUCAGAAAUCCAUGGGGACGAUGCUGCUGGGCAGGUGCUUGGACUUGGAGUGGUAUUGGUUGGAGUUUUCUCGACCCAGUUUGCGCUGCAGAGCUGCGAGACCGAACAGCAGAGGGCGAAUUCUGGUUAGAUGAGGCUGAGUUUACGUCUCAGUUUGAUGACAUCACAGUGGGAUAUCCAAUUGGCAAAGAUGGACUCAUGAAGAGUGUUUACACAGGAACCCUUCUCACACACAGCCAUCAGCUGGCUAGCCGGUGGAUUAAAGGCCACUCUGCUGGCGGAAGCCGAAACACCAGCAGCUACAGCAGCAAUCCCAAGUUUUGGCUCAAAGUGUGUGAGACAGGAGAGAUUCUCGUAUCCUUGCUGCAGCAUCGAAAAUGCAGGAACACAGAGAAAUACGCACAAAUAGACCCGGAGGGCAUCAGUAACACAAAGCACCAGCAUUACCAAGCUAUUGCUCUACAUAUGUGGAAGGUGGAAAGGAAGCGUUUUAGUCUGAGCCGGAUGUUGAACAAGCCGCCUUGUGCUUCUACUCACUGCCAUUCCUACGAGAGAGAGGUGGUCCUCUGCCGGCCGCUGGAGCCUGGAUACUACCUCCUCAUUCCCAGCACCUACCAGCCAGGAGCCGAGGCCCGCUUCCUCCUCCGGGUCUUUUCCUCCUCCCCCACAUCACUCAGUGCCCUGAAAAGCCCAGCACCCUCUCUGCCACUGACAUCGGAUGGUGAGUGGGAGACCAGCUUCUUCCGCGGCUCGUGGAUAGAAGGAAGGACGGCAGGAGGAAGCAGGAACUUCCCCUCGUACUGGAAGAACCCCUGCUUCCCUUUCGCAGUGUGUGAUGAGCCAGCACCGACAUCUGGAGUUAAUGUCAGGAUUACUCUGCACCAGAGCCGUCCUGACACCCAUUUGCAUCCCAUUGGUUUCCACGUUUACAAGGUACUACAGGUGGAGUCAGAACAGACGGCAGCCAAAGAAAAUGAUCCUGUGGCCAGCUGCAUCCCGCACUGUUACACCCAGGAUGUCAGUCUGGCCUGCACUCUUCCUCCGGGAUCCUACACCAUAGUGCCGUCCACUUAUCAGCCCGACUGCUCAGCAAAGUUUAUAAUCAGCCUGGCUAGAAAAAUACACAGCUGUUCUGUGAAGUGCACCAAUUGCUUUUGCAGUAAAAAAUCCACUCAUGAUGCUGAAAAAGAGAAGCUGAUGCUAAAUGAGAUGAGUUUGUUUAUUAUAACUAAUUGAAAAACCGCCAUUACAGUUUUGAUCUAAAACAAUGUCUGUCUUAUGUUUCUGCCAGGAAAGUAGUGAAGAGUCAGGAAAAGCUCGGGAGUGCCAUUCACGAGGUCUCUCACAUCUCUGUGAUGAAAACCUAGUUCCAUGGGACUGACGUCAGUCCACCACCCUGUGCCUCUUGGCCCACGAUAAAACGCCCGGUUCCACAGUCAGCGCCGACCACAGAAAGCAUGACUGUGUUUGUGUUUGUAUAUAUGGACCAUGAGCGGCUGGCCAGGCAGGGGGACAAACCACCAGGGUUUCUGUACAGCUCCACAAUCAUCUGUGAUUAGGACAUCAGAGGUUGUCGGUGGGCUGGGCUGCUAAUGAAGUAUGACGGGACUGACUGGUGUAAACAAACAGCGGCAACUGAAGAAUACCGCCACUGCUCUCGCUCAUUCACUCACUGGUGCGCCUGCCGGCCCAGAACAAAGAGUCCUCUCAGAGUCUCCACACAGAGGCAUGGGGGGGGGGGGGGGAUUGUCUGCAGUAGCAAAGCCAACCAAGUCGCACAAAACCAAACCAAGCCAUACCAAAAUUCCAAUUUUUUGGAAUUUUCCAGAUAUACCUUCCCCUACAUACAUUGUUGCAUUGUGUCAAGAGGCAAACACUGCUUUGACUAUGAUUUUACAUCAAAACCAUUAAAACUUUGAGCCAAACCCAGAGAAGUCUACCUUGUUCCCCAUCCUCACCCUUCGCCUCCUUUUCAGUCCCUUAUACUCGGUCCAGAGAUCUUUCUGGACCUGAACAGAGCCACUGUUUGAAGUUGCUGCAAGAACAGAGGACAAGCGAAGAGGAUGAAACAAGAAACACGGCACAUCAGAGGAUGCCGGUUCAAACAACGAGGCCGCCAGUUCUCUUUUCUUCUAUUGAGGCUGUGCAUGUGCGGUGGUGUGUGUCCAUCUGCUCGUACCCAUCCAUAUCUGUGAGCUGAAGUCACCAGACUUCUGAUCGCUUCAAUCAGAGGGACUGCACACUUUUACAUAAACAGGAUCUCAUUGACCAGUGGUACUUUGUUGUGUUAGCUAUUUAUCAUAUUUUGGAUACAUUAAAUAAAAUGUUAAACUGAACAAAAUUGAGUAGAUUUAAUGGGAUUUUGACAUGUGCUAGUUUCUCUUUGCAUUGUCUUUUUUUUCAGUAAGAAUUUUUUCCCAAAAGUUUUGAGUUUUUUUCCGCUCAGACUUUAUUGCUUUACCUUUGACAUCGAUUUCUCACGUCUCUAUGCUAUACUGAAGGUUAGUAA
This is an RNA transcript of Poeciliopsis prolifica (blackstripe livebearer), 3620 nucleotides long. It is a transcript of the gene named calpain 10, with no coding region annotated. The transcript is spliced from 13 exons. The record is from RefSeq and is a predicted model, not a curated record. Lineage: Eukaryota; Metazoa; Chordata; Actinopteri; Cyprinodontiformes; Poeciliidae.